GCGGCCCUCCGAGAUGUCCAUGGCGGCUUCCGCAUCCAGGUCAUCAAUGUGACUGAAGAUCCAGUCCACAGCCCUUUCUAAACUAUUGUUCUUGGAGAGGAGGGAAGCAUUGCUCUUUCCAACAAGUUCAGGGCCCCCCAGUCCUCAGCCGGGAGACAGCCCAUACCGUGGCCCGAAGAGCUUUCAGGGCCUGGUCCCGGGAGAAGCCCAUGGAGACGAUGGUGCUCACGCAGUCUUCCGGCGGGGGGUCAGCUGCCGCACUGGUGGAGCCAGGCCCGCUGGAGCCAGGCAGGAUGAGGGGGUUUGCGAAAUCUGCGGGGGUUGAAGGGGUUGAAGUGUGUGGGGGAGGACGGUGGCCCUGUUCCGCCCUGCUACCCACCCCCGCCUACCUGGAUCGUCCAUGUGUGACAUGACCCAGUUCAUGGCGGCCUCAGCCCCACUGUUGCCUGUGUAGUAGACGGCUUUGCGGCAGGCGUCCAUAGGGAAGCCCAUCUCCACCAGCUGGAUAAUGAC
This is a long non-coding RNA of Felis catus (domestic cat), 513 nucleotides long. RefSeq lists it as uncharacterized. The record is from RefSeq and is a predicted model, not a curated record. The transcript has 2 exons. NCBI's taxonomy places the organism in Eukaryota, Metazoa, Chordata, Mammalia, Carnivora, Felidae.